Molecule: RNA transcript, 1770 nt
Organism: Lagenorhynchus albirostris (white-beaked dolphin)
Lineage: Eukaryota; Metazoa; Chordata; Mammalia; Artiodactyla; Delphinidae
Gene: LZTFL1
Gene name: leucine zipper transcription factor like 1
Exons: 11
Source: RefSeq, a predicted model, not a curated record
GGCUUCUAAACAACCCGCCCUCCCUCCGCGUCCUCUGCGGUCCAACUUACCCUGGAGACGCCGGGCCUGACGAAGUCGCGCCUGGCCUCUCCCGCUUUUCCAGACCGCUGACUCCUGUCCGCCGCCAUGGCAGAGUUGGGUCUAAAUGAGCACCAUCAAAAUGAAGUUAUUAAUUACAUGCGUUUUGCUCGUUCAAAAAGAGGCUUGAGACUCAAAACUGUAGAUUCCUGCUUCCAAGACCUCAAGGAGAGCAGGCUGGUGGAGGAGACCUUCACCAUAGAUGAAGUCUCUGAAGUCCUGAAUGGGUUACAGGCCGUGGUCCACAGCGAGGUGGAGUCUGAGCUCAUCAACACGGCCUACACCAAUGUGCUACUUCUGCGGCAGCUUUUCUCACAAGCUGAGAAGUGGUACCUCAAGCUACAGACAGACAUCUCUGAACUUGAAAACAGAGAAUUAUUGGAACAAGUUGCAGAAUUUGAAAAAGCAGAAUUUACAUCUUCAAAUAAAAAGCCCAUCAUAGAUAACAUAAAGCCAAAACUUGCUCCACUUAACGAAGGUGGAACAGCAGAACUCCUAAACAAGGAAAUUUUAAGACUUCAAGAAGAGAAUGAGAAAUUAAAGUCAAGGCUGAAGACCCUUGAAACACAGGCAACAAAUGCAUUGGAUGAGAAGUCAAAACUAGAAAGAGCACUGCAAGAUUUACAGCUUGAUCAAGGAACUCAGAAGGAUUUUAUAAAGACCCAAGACUUGAGUGACUUGGAAAACACAGUUGCUGCUUUAAAGAGUGAGUUUCAGAAGACACUUAAUGACCAGACAGAAAACCAGAAGUCCCUGGAGGAGAAUCUAGCGACAGCCAAGCAUGACCUACUCAGGGUGCAGGAGCAGCUGAGCAUGGCUGAAAAGGAAUUAGAGAAAAAAUUCCAACAAACAGCAGCUUAUCGAAACAUGAAAGAGAUUCUCACCAAGAAGAAUGACCAAAUCAAAGACCUGAGGAAAAGACUGGCGAAAUAUGAACCUGAAGAUUAAAAACUGAAGAAGAUUUCAUCUGGAAGCUGCCACUACAUGAAAGUACAAGCUGUUUCUCACCUCAGGUUUUAUAUUAAAGUACUGAAGGAACAAAUGAUGAAGGGUAAGAUAAUUUCCCCCCAAAAGGACACAGAAGGCAGUCUUAAAAAGGUGAAUGAAUGAGAGAAGGGAGGGGAAAAGAUCCACUAACAAGCCAGCACUUACUGCAUAGUUGUUUCUCACCCAUCCCUCACUAUUCAGGUCACUCAUUGGGUUCUGUGUCCUUUUAGAGCUUUCACUGAGGGUUCCAGUCUUACCCCAUAUUUCUUUAGGCAAAAAUUGAUUCUCUCUCUGAAAACUAUUCCAUUUUUUAUAGACCAGAAUAUUCUGUGUAAUUCAGAAACAGACCUCUUUAAAUGGCUUGUGUAUCUUUCAAAAACCAUUUAUUUUCUCUCUAUAUGUUUCUUAGUUUGAUGUCCAUAGGGAAGGAAGUUAUGUUGAGAAACCUAUGUUGCUAGGUAGAAUUUCAACUUUGUUUUCUUUUUUUUUCGGUAGCAACUUUUAAAUAUUCUAUAUAUGCAGUUCAGUAAUUCAAAAGUAUUUAUGAAACCUUAAAACCUAACUAGGCCCUGCAUUAAGAUAAACAAACAUGAUAUUCUUUGACAUAAAUUAACGUGAUGAUUCUUCCACAUAUAAAUACUUUCUGUGCCUGUUUUUGUCACUGUGUGUGUGUGUGUGUGUGUGUGUUAUGUGCCUAGCAAAAUG